UUUUUUUUUUUUUUUUUUUUUUUUUAGGUUUUGCAAAAUGCAGCUAUCAAGAUUCGAACUCAAGACCUUUGUAAUAAAAGACCAAUGUAGUAACCAUUGCACCAUCACAUCUUAUUAGUUUUGUUUUGAUAACUUAUUUAUAUAAAACAAAAACUCAUAUUUCUUUUUUUUAUUUUUUUUUACAAAAUCUAAUCAUCUCAUGGCUCUUUCUUUUUAAUCUUCAACACACACACACACACACACUCUCCUCUUUUUUUUGUCACUCUCUUUUUAAUCAAACCACUUUAUUUUUAAUUUAUUGAUGUUUUCUUCCAUCUUUUAAUUUUAUUUUUGUCCAUUAAAUUGAAAAAGGUUAAAAAAGAAUUAUUUUUCUUUAACCCAAAUUAUUUAAUGCCACAACCACUCACUUUUAUCUUAUUUUUUAUUUCUUAUCAAGUUUGCAUUUCUAUUUUCGAUUCUCUUGACUUCUUUCAAACUCCAAAAGUCCUUUUUUAAAUUGCAAUCUCUAAAUCCCAAAACGUAAAUUAAAAUUUUAGUUCACAAAAUCUAAAUUCUCAUAGACAUGAAUUUUGUAUAAUUUUAAAAUAUUAUGAUAUUUUUGGGUUAGAUCUAAGAUUUUUUUGGUAGAUAUAAUUGAAAUUGAAAUGAAAUUUAUUUGUUUUAACUUAUAAUUUAAAAUUUUUAUUUUUAAAAAAUCAAGUUAUUCAAAAAUAGUAAACUUUUCAUCAUAUAAUGUAUUAAAUUGGUCCAUUAUAUGUCUUAUUUUGUGCAUAAAUAUUUAUAUAAAUUAUUUUUUUUAAAUUCAUUGAACCGAGGUUGAACCGGUCCGACCGAUUGAAUCUCGACCCUUUCACGUCACCGGUUCAAUUAACGAUCCGGUUUUUAAAACAUUGGCUCCAGUAGGCCUGUUUCUUCACCGCGUAGAGUGAUUUUACGGAGUCGGAAACCUGAGAAGGGAUGACCUCCCGGGUCUCUCUGUCCUCAAGGUCUAGCUGUGUGGUUUUUCUUGAAGUUAUAUUGGGAGAGGAGUAAGUCACCGAUCAAAUAUGUUAAGCCGUUUAAUCUUCGGGGUAUCUCAUAGUGAGGACAAUUAAAUCGCUGGUUAUUUUUGUGUCUUUGUCAAUCGAAAACAUUUUUCAUGAGAUAAACCCUUAUAAAUUAAUCUUCUAUAUAUGAUAAUGUAUAUACUUACACCGUUGGAUAUAUGACAUAUCAAAUUUUGCAUAUAUGUCAUGUAUUUCACCAUAAUAGUUUAUAUACUGUCAGUGUAUAUAAGAUUUACUCUUAAUUUAUGAAUUAAUCUUCUAUAUGCUGACAUUGUAUAUACUUUCACCAUUACACACAUCACACAUAAUCUGAAUUUGAAUUUAAAAAUCAAAAUUUAUAUAUGCGUCAUGCAUCGAAUCGUGACAAUAUAUACAAUGUUAAUGUAUAUAAAAUGUACUCUUUAAUUUAUGAGUGAGUUGGACAUUAGUCAAGAAUUUUUGCUUGUUUGAUUAGGUUGUCUUCGUUUAUACUCAUUAAUGCGAGAAUCAAUCAAAAUAGAGAAAGACAAAACCCCUAACUUACGCUGCCGGGAGAGGGGAUUAGAAUGUAAGGCGAAGGGACAGUUUUAAGGUUUUUGGCCCAAUAAUUAAUUUGGUAAACAAUAAAAAAACCGCGUAAUAAAUCUAAUAUAUAGAAAAGCACAUCAUGAUUUUAAAAUAUACAACACGACACCUCAUUUAUUGAACUAAAUUGUAAAGGUAAUGAAAUCCAUUAAAUUUAAUGGAAAUGAAUGAAAUGACAAAAAUGCUCUGAUAUAGUUAAACAAAAGACAACUCAAUAAAAUUAUUUAUUUUAUUCUCUAGAGAAAGGGAAAUUGAGUGUUAAGGGGCAGAAUAGAUAUAUUUGUUAAAAAUUAGGUAUAAAUUUGUUUUAGGUUUCAAUAAGUCAUUUUCGUUAAAUUUAAUGGAUUUCGUUAUCUUUAUAAUUUAGUUCAAAGUAUGGAAUGUCAUGUUAUACGUUUUGAAAUCACCGAAAUUUUUUAUAUAUUAGAUUUAUCACGUGACUUUUUUAUUUUUUACCCUAAUUAAUUUCUUAGCAAUUUAACCUUUCACUAAAAUUAUACUGUACUUAUUUAUUUUCGCCUUCCUCUUUUCGUCUGAACCCAACCCAACUAAAAAUUUCCACUCCUUUCAAAACCCCUAGAUCAGAACACAACUCAUAAUUAAGACUAAAUGCAACAGCAGCAGCCAUCUCCGGCACCACCACAGACGGCGGCAAUUUCCGCCGGAGCACCGUCUAGUGACCAACAGACUGCUGAGGCGCCACCGAAACAGGUCGCGCUAGCCAUGGACCGGCUAGCUCAAGCUGGCCGCCUCAUUGCUGACAUCAGAAUCGGCGCCGAUCGCCUCCUCGAAGCCCUAUUCGUCGCUGCCUCCGAGCCGCAUCAGCAAUCCUCCAAACCCUUGCAGCUAAUCGUUAAAGAAGAAGCUUCCAUGCGCCAAUACCUCCAAGACCUCCGCACCAUCGGUAUAUAUAUAUAUUCUGCACAUCUCUGCGUGUGCUUGUUAAGUUUAGUGUGCAAAUUCUUUUAAAAAUAAUUUUUGUUAAUUUUUAUGGAUUUAUGCGCUUUGAAUUAUAGAAAAUGUUAUGAUAUUCUGAAGAUUUGAAUGCUAGUGUUGGUUUUUGCGUUUUCUUUGAAAUGAUUAUGAUAAAGACUAGGAUUUUGAGGAUUGAAGUGUAUUUUAAGUUCACAUUAUAGAUAAAGUUUGAAGUUUGUACUUGUCCGAAAAGGUUUGAAGAUUGUGUGCUUGUGCUUGUCUAUUUUAGAUUUAUUGAGGGUGCUUGGUUUGUUUAUGUUCGAAAUAUGGUACAUUGUUACGUAGUGAAUGCAAGGGGAGGGCGGAGACAGGGGCAAGCUAUUUACAUGCUUUUGAACUUUUAUUGCCAGGAAACAGUUUAUUAAGAGAAGCAGCAGGGUCAUAUUUGGUGAGAUAAAAGAAAGACAACGGUCUUGAUUAUUCACAGUAUGUAUGUCGAUGUUUGUCAUGUUGAUUAUAGAGGAGAUCGACGAAGCGUCAUUUGGCUAGAGAUGGAUAAAAAUACCACCAACAAGAAUAGAAAGGAGAGUGCUGUCCAUUUAUGUGUGGAAGGAAAAGUGAAAAAGGACUGAUUAGGUUCCUUAAAAAUGAAAGAGGAUAGGAAGAUGAUGGGAAAGCCCCUGAAUUAUGUACAUGGAAGAGGAAUUAAAUAAUGUAAAUGGAACAGAUUCAUAAAUGAGGUUGCUAGUUGUUGUAAGUGUUAUCUAUGUCACCCUUUUUUCAUUCUUAGCUGUUGCUGUCAGGUGCUAAUAAACAUUUUCCUUUUUCCAGGUAAGCAGUUAGAGGAUUCUGGGGUUCUCAAUGAAUCUCUUCGCUCCAGAAGUAAUUCAUGGGGUCUUCAUAUGCCCCUGGUUUGUCCAGAUGGUGCUGUUGUUGCAUAUGCAUGGAAACGUCAACUUGCUGGUCAGGCUGGUGCAUCUGCUGUAGACAGAACUCGGUAAAUAUUAUUUCAUUAACAUGGCCCAAUCAAUUUGUAUUUUGUUUAUUAAUGUCUUAUUGGUAUUCUUUGUGGAUGCAAUAUAUUGCUAGAGGUUAAGAGCCUCUAGCUAGAUUUGAUCUCAUCUAGUCCUGUCUUUCCUUUUUUUCGAAAGUCAACCUCUUUGUCAGAUUGUAAAAUAUUGCAGUGUGCUGACCUUCAUAAAAGGAUGAAUUUGCAUAGUUUCUGCUAAAUGGAACUCCUGAACGGUGAAUAGAGAGGUUACAAGUCUGAGAAUUCUAAAUAUUCAGCUUUUGAGUUGCAUACUGUUAUCUCCUCAGGAAAAGGACAAGCAGAUAUAAAAAAUGACUUAAAUGUAGCUUUAUAGGUUAUGUGUAGUUAACCUCUGUAAUCCUUUGCUGCACAUGCAGACUGAUGUGUUUGCUGGGUUUAAGAACGCAGCUUCAUUACAUAGCCCAUGCCAGUUUGGGGCUUCUCUUUAUGUGCUUUAGAGCCUUAAUUUGCUGGUUAUACCGUUUUGUUCUUUUGUAUUAGCAGGUGUUUGUGUUGUUAAGUCAAAUUAUACGAGUUUCUUUGAUGAUCUGACACGUUAGUAAUUGGUUCUGGGUUCUUAGUGCUACCUAUGUUACAUGGACUCACCAUUCACCCCAGGCGCACCCGUGUUGGAUAUGACAUGGGUAUGGGUAUGGAAUCUGUACCUGAUGUGCUAAAAUUUUUUUGGAUAUGUUGACUAUUGUGAGAUGUGAUGUUGAUGGCAGAGAAGAGAUGGAUAAGAAGUCACAUGAGAUGGUAAGAGAGUGGAAGAGGAAGAAGGGUGGCUUUGCGGAGGAGAAACAAAGAAGGAGAAAGCUGCUAGAGAUUUGAAUAGAAAAAUACUCACGACACCUGCUGUAUUUUCGCUUGAUACAUACGAGCUGUUGAUUCUCUUUCAUUGGUGGAUAUGGGAUUGUAGCAACGAUUGCAUCUAAGAGUAAGAGUGGCUUUGUUUUUUGGAGAAGAAGUGCUGUGUUUUGAUUCGUUUUAAAUGCUCAGUAAAUGAGGUGACGGCACUGCUGAAUGAGGGAUGAGGAAUAUAGGGUUUGAAAAUGAUAUUUAUUUUGCAACUAAAUCCCUGUAUUUUGACUUUAAUUAUCAUUUUCAUCAAGUAACUUAAUCUCUUUACAAUUUUGCACUUUUUAAUAUAAUUUCAGCCCCUCAUACUUGAAAAAUUUACCUUUCUAACCAAGCUUAUGGUUCUUUUCAACCUAAUUGCACAUUUAAUUGAAAUUUUUUAUUAAAAUACUCUUUAUACGUCAUUGUGCAUAAAUUUUAGAAUGAUUUAUUUCUAAAAAUCUUAUCCAUCUAUGACACUUGUACCCAAAAUUGGACACAUAUCUCCGGAUCCUACAAUUUUCAAAUAUGCGAAUCUGACACUUCGACAGGCACCCAUAGCUGACCCCCCCCCCCCUGAGUCCAUGUAACAUAGAUUGCUACUUCUGAAUUCUCCAAUCCCCAGUUUUUCUGAGAAAUUCUUAGUGUAAGUCGAGGAAAUAAGAGGACUGAAAUUGAGCACAUUACAAUUCACUGGCUGCUGGCCUGUAGCAGCUGUAUGGCAUUCAAGUCAUGGGUUGCGGGUUUAUUCAUAAGGUUGAUAAUGACUUGGUGAUAUAACAGUUAAUAGUAGCAUUAAAUGGUGUGCUGGCAUGUAAAUAUGUAUCCUACGUAGUGGCUCUGUUAGCAUAUAACCAACCUUAGCUCAAUUUAAUCUUUGAUUUUCUCUUCAAUGGUGUAUCUUUUGCCUUCUUUGUUAGCUGUCGAAUGCUAUUCUCUCUCUUCUGAAUUAUAGGUUUGGAAUGUCUGCAGGUUGGCUCUCAAGGCUUUCACUGAUCAGAAAAGAAGAUUUUUUCCUCACCUUGAUGAUGCUGCUAGUGUGGAAUCUGCUAAAAAGAAACAUUGUGCUCCUGUAGUGUUAGAAGAGCUAAGUGAACUGAGAACACUAUCAGAUAUUCUUACCCUUGUAGAAAAAGAGGUCCCAAAUGUCAAAACUUCUACAUACCAGCGUUUGGAAUGGUUGAAAAGAGCUUCCUUGCUUCCUUCUUCUGAAAGUUCAAUCGAGUCUUCAAAGGAUCAUGGAUUUCAUAGUAAAUUUAGACAGGGAUCAGUAAGCAAUGUCACUGCUGAUAAGGUUUCUGUAAUUGAAUUGCUGUUUCCGUCUAUUUUUAGAGCUAUAAUAUCAUUGCAUCCAUCCGGUUCCACUGUUCCUGAUGCUGUGGCUUUCUUCUCACCAGAUGAGGUGAUCUUAGUGUUCAGAUGCACAAAUGUCUUGAAUUCGUCAUUGCUGUGGUAUUCUAGUUUGAUUCAUGUGUUUAAUGUUCCAUGCAUAAGUCAUUGUUGCCAUGAAGUGGUUGAAUGCUAUGGAUGGUUCAUGAGCAAAUUGAAUAUUUACCUGUAGAGAACCUAUGUUAAUGAAUUCUUAGGUAUAUUCUGCUGUUGAGAUUAACAUUUGAUAUCUGUGAAGUUAGGUGUGAUUGUUUAAAUUAGAACAAAAGCAGCACACACACUAUAAAAAAAAAGAGAAAAAAAAAAUCUAGCAAUGCAGUCUGAAUGACAAGUUGGUAGGAUGCAUGAUGAUAAGUUACAAUUGUGUUCGGGUUUACAAUUUCUUUUGCUUAUGAGUUAAUGUGUUCCUUUUGUAGAAAAAAGAACUGGUAAAGUUCAUUUCAAACAACUUAAAGUUUUAUUAGCAUCUUUUGUAUCCAACAAGGAAUUUAUUUGGUACGCACAUGGUAGAUGAGAUGGCAAAUGUUGUGAACUAGGAAAGGACUUUUUAUCCUACCAUUGGCAAACGGGGUGAUAUGCAAAUGUGAUGUUUCUAAAGGACACACUCACACUUCCUGUUUUGGUUAUGGCAUCCAUUUGUUCUUUUCAUGAACUCGUUUCUAAAAUCUGCAUUAAUAUUGGCUAAAAGAAUAUGCAAUUGAUUAGGUGUAUGGCAUUUGCAACAUGGUGUAAUUUUGUCAUUGUGUUUUUCCCAGUAUAUACAUUUUAAUGUUCAUAAACUGUCCAGGGUUUUAGCAUUUGUGACUGCAGCCUACUCGAUCUGGAGAUGUUUUCGCAAUGAAUGCUGUAUAUGGUUUAAUACAUGCAGGCCUACUCGAUCUGGAGAUGUUUUUGCAAAGAAGACUUUGCGUAGAAAAACAGAAUCCUUUGGUGAAAAUGGGAAUGGAUAAAAUUUGAAAGAAAUGCUGUUUUAAUAAUUAACAGAAUUGUGUACAAGGAACACAAUUUUGCAAUAUUUGAAUUUCGACCAUUCUUUCUAACUACAGGUCUGCAUGUUAGCACUGUGCUGGACUCAACUCUCACUUGGCAUUGGCACUUUUAAACUUUAAACUGAUUUGAUUUAGUGUACUAAUCAAGCUCAAAAAUAGUCAUUAUGAGCUUGACUAAACUUACUCCCUUGUGUUGUCUCGACUCCAUAAUUUGAUGGAUUACUUAGCAAGAUAGGUUCCAGCUAACUCCUAUCUGAAACAGUAUUGCAAAAUGUCGUAUAAUAGAUUUUGUUAAGAAGAAGCUUAGUAGGCCUGCAAAAUCUUUGUUCUAAAAUCAUGUUCCUUGUUAUGCUGCUUUAAAAUAGAUAAAAGGUGUUGUUAGUUCUCUGUCUCUCCCCCCCUCCCCCCAUUAGUUUUGAGUUUGCAAAACAUCCUCCUUUUUUUUUUCCAUUUAUCUUUCUUUUUGGUUAGUUGUAAAACUUGUGGAAUAUUUUGUAUCUUGUUUCUUCUGCUUAUUUAAACACUGUUUUUUAAUUUUAGAGUAAUGAUAACUUUUGACGGAUUACUAUUUUUUUGCUUGUAAAGGGUGGCAGCUACAUGCAUGCUAGGGGGUUUUCAGCUUAUAAUGUAUUUCGGCAUAUUACGGUAUGGCUUUGGCUACCAUUUGCAUGUGGCCAUACAUUCUUAUUGGCACAGUUUUGCUGGUGUUGUUGAUGGAAUUUGACAUUGAUUUAUCAUUGAUGGAAUGCACUAAUAUUUCCCUGUAACAGGAACAUGCUUCCUUGGCUUUGCAAUAUUUUGUUGGUAUUAAUGCUGAAACAGCCUUAUAUACUCUUUUGGUAAUUAUAAUUUUUCUAAAGAUUUGAUAAUUGGUAACAUACAAUUUUAUUUUUGCCUUGCUGUGACGAAACCAUAAGUCAAAAUUUUGAUAUAUUUUGUUAUGUUCUUGAAGCAUUGGGUCUGCAGCUAUCGGACUAUCCUUACAAAAGUUUGCAGGUGAAGUUUCUCUUACUGUUUUGGUCGUUAUGCUGCUAUUCCCUCUAGAUAUUAAAUCCUGAAUGGGUUCUGUGCAGCAAGUGCGGCCGACUGCUAACUAUGGACCAACAAUCAGGGUUAUUAUUGCCCCCGGUUAUUCGGCCCUACCGAAAUUUUUCUGCUGGUAAAGUUUCAUCCAAGAGUUCCUCAAGUGAGGAUCAAAGUGCCAAUCCCAUAGAAGCUUUUCAUGUUGCCUGCUAUUCAGAAGCAGCAUAAGCUAGUUUAUACAUUUGAACCACUGUUAAUCAUAGGCUUGUCUCUAGUGCAUGUACACAGAAUGAAGUAACAGGUGCUUGUGAAUCUUGUUUCGGUUAGCUCAUAGCUGUCAGAUAGGUUUAUCGUCUAGAGAAACUAGGAAAAGCUCAUUAAAUGUAGUAAUCUAGGUUUUAGUUUAGUUUCACUCGGGUACGUGCUGAAAAUAGAGGUCUUUCUUUUAUAAUUGAAAUGGUCUCUCAUGGUGUUACAUUUUUGAGCUAACAUUUUAUUAUUUGCCAUAGGCAAUGAACUUUUUUAAUUUGCAUUGAAGAUGAUCUUCUUGAGGUACCUACUAGAUGUCUUUACAUUUCAUCUUGCUAUCUUAUCUUACAAGUUAAAUGUCUAUGUUUCAGUUUAUCAUGAAUAUGGUUGCAGUUCCACUCCAUCUUUGUUAAAAAAAACUGAACAAAAAAUUAUGUGUAAUUUAUAUCCUGAACAUGAUGGACCAAUUAUCAAUCUAAUCUAUGUAAUUUACUUCAUUUUAUAAGUUCUCAGUCUGCUGUAAAAUGUAACAAGCUGUAAGAGUCAAUUACAUGGUGUGCAAUUUUAUCUUUUAAACUGGCUUCUUCUAUCCUUAUCCUAAUUGCAAGGGUCUUUCCAGCUUUAUAAAGUCAUGGUGACUUGCCACUGUAAUUCAACUAACUUUUUUUUUUCAAGUAAUUCAACUAACCUAGACAUGCAUUGUUCACAUUACUCCGUUUGUUUGGACCUGUUCUAAAAAACAUGUUUUUGAAAAACUUAAAACAUGAUUUCUAACUAUCUUUUUAUAUAGACACAUUUGUCAAGAAAGAUGCCGUAAAAAAAAAAAAAAAAAAACCAUCCAAACAUUAAAAUCCUUGCAAAGAAAGGUGUAGCAUCAUUACAGACAUAAACAUAUUUUAAAAUCACUAACAAAUUUCAAUGGCAAAUUGAAGUUUGGUGUAGCAAGACUAGUAACUCCUACUUCCCCACCAAUCUUCCAGAAAAAAAGAAAAAAGAAAAAAGAAAAAAGGCAGUCCAACUCUUCCAGCAAAGGUUCUUUUUCUCGCCUCUCUCAAUUUAUUCACAUUCUUUCCCUAAUAUUAAAGUGUAUCCACCGUUGAGUUCUAGACACUCAUUCGAAAACUUUCCUAGGAUUUUGUAUUCUAUCCUUAAUUUUAGCUAAAAAGGAUAACAGUGCAGGGAAAAGAAAAACAGAUUAAUUUGUUUGCUACAGAUUAUCCCAGAGUAAAAAUUUGGUCUUUUUCAAAGAUAACUACGAUGGUCUUUGAAAGGGUGCAUGAUGAUGUAUUUAUGCUGCAACCGUGUAAUAUAAUUUGUUAUAUAUAACAGCACCCAAACUUUCUUUGCCAAUCUACUUUAUCUCCAAUGCUUCUCCUUCUCUUGAAGCAAAGGUUAAAAUAAACAAAGAUGCCAAGAAACAUAUGCUCUUUGAAUUGCAAAAGUUGCAGAGCCCACCUGACUCAAUCCUCAACUUUUAAAAACUGUCUCUCUGUGUCUUCACUGAUACGUGUUCUUUUGAAACCAAUAUAAUCUUGACAUGCAAAGGUUAACACCAUCUAAAAAUAUGGUCCACAGUAUACUUUUUCCUAAAAGUGAUUAUAAUUAAUAUUUUGUAUCGAUAGUGGCACCAGUAGGGUUUUGGUAGGAUGUCCUUUAAUGCAGUAACUGUUUUAUAUGGUUUCAUUCUCCUACGUCUUCGAUCAGUCUCAGAUUGAUUCUGGUUUUCAGCAGUACAAGUGCUCAAAUAUGUUUGAGUUGAGGAUAGAUAAAUAUAAAUUAGGAAGACUAAUGGCCAAAAUAUUGAAACUUUAAAAACAAAAAUCUAUUACUAAUAUCCUACUACGGUUGUAAUUCUUGUAAAAUUGAAUAUGGCACUCCCAAAAAAUGUUGUUUUCUAUUGUUAGAUACCUUUGUGGAUUUUUUCUUUUUUGUAUUUACAUGCAGCAAGAAAAAAAGUGUCAUUCCCCACCCUUUCCCCCACCAUACCUAAAACCAAAAAGAACAAAAAGAAUGACGAGGUUAAGGACCAGCUGUUAAAGUCUGGAAAGGCAACAAAAGUGAUUAAGCACUGCAAGUAAUUUCUACGACAAUUUUUUAGGAGUUAGUUUGUGUGACAGUUAAGAUUGCAUUUCAUAUUUUAAUGGUUUACUUUAGUCACAUUGUACAUUUCAUUUCAUAUUAUAUUUGUUUCUUAGCAAUUUACAUCUUCUAUGGUUAUUAUGUAUAUUUCUACCUACCAAUUACAUCAAGACAAGUCACAUGGCCAGAUCUAAAAAGAGUCUCCAAUUUCUCUAUGAAUGUAAGUCUGUACCAGGAGCCCAAGUUCCUUUUUGAUAUGCCUUACCAAAGUAUCAAGUCUCCUCACAUAAAUUCCAAGCUUGACAGUUUAAGCAAGCCCCUAAACCAAUAGCAUUAUUGUCCUUCUUCCACACCACCCUAUAUAUAUAUAUAUAUGAGCCUUAAGUACAUUGAUAGUAUUCAAAUUCAAGAACCAAGUUAGACUUCAUUGUUCCACAAAAAGAACAUUUCCCUCCAAACUAGUACCCAUUUCUACCAAAAUUUAGACACCAUGGACGUGUACGUGUAUCGGCAAUCUGCUUCACGUCUGACAGUUCUAGCACAUUUAUUUGGUAUAAUAGCCAUAGUUCUUUUGCUUGUUUGGCUGCUGCAUUUUCGUGAGGGAAUGAAUCUUGAUUCCGACAAUCCAUUCCGCAUUUUCAAUGUAAACGAGGAACAGCUCUUUAAGUCAGUUUAGUCUUCACAAUUGAACUUCUGAUUGACCUUCAUUUCUGUAUUUGUUGCUUUUGGGCAGGUUCAUCCAUUUCUGAUGUUUUUCGGCUUCAUAUUUCUAGCUGGUCAAGGUAUAACACGACUCUAUAUUGAUUUUUGCAUGCAAUUUCUCAAUAGCUUGGUGAAUACUAAUUGUUGAUCUGUUUUUAUCAUAAACCACAUAUAACGCUUAUUAAACCUAAGCAUAAGAACUUUAGGAUUAGUUAUCACUAAAGUUCUUCCAUCAAAAUGCUUCACUUUAUCGUCUAUAAUAUAGUAUAUAAGUGGACUCGUAGACCCAAUCUACCUAGGUGUUUAUUACAAUGCUAUAACAAUUAGUAUGCUGGUUCUUGAUAACAGCAAUGAUGGCUUACAAGACAGUACUAGCAGCAAGAAACGUGCAGAAGGUUGCUCAUAUGUUCCUUCACUUGGUAGCAAUCACUUUGGGGAUUGUUGGAUUACACGCUGUGUUCAAAUUCCAUGACAGGGCCAACAUAAGGAAUUUGUACAGCUUACAUUCCUGGAUAGGCAUCGGCACCUUCUCCCUCUACAUUUUACAGGUAAUUAAUGUAAAACUUGAGUAAUUCCAACCUCUUAUGUUUAAUCACUUCUUAAAUUAUAUCGUGAAGUUUAUUUUUUGGACAAGACAGUAUUACUUGUAUAAAAUACAAUAGCCCCACAAUGUUAGUGGAGUAAAUGUAACGCUAGAGAAAAAAAAAAUUUCAUGAAAUGGUAGUCAAUUAGUUUUAAAAGUUUCUCUUCGUCCUUAGUGUCUUUUACUUUUAAAAAUUGGAGAACAUUAUGAGUAAGAAUGUCAUUAUAAAGUGCUUGUUGUAUAGUUAAAGAAUACACACAUUAACAACUAUGGGAGUGCCAAUAAUAGCUUUCAUAUAUAUAUAUAUAUAUAUGUGUGUGUGUGUGUUUUGUGCGCGCGCACGCUUGUAUAUAUGUAUGUAUGUAUCUACAUUCGUGUCAGUAACUUGCAUUUACACAUUUUAGACUUAUUCUAGAUUUGAUUUGCAGUGGUUAUUUGGGUUCAUUACGUUCAUGGUUCCACAAACCUCGCUCGACAGUAGGGCGAGGGCACUCCCAUGGCAUAUUUCUGGUGGUAGAGCACUGUUGUACAUGGCAAUCUGUGCAGCAGAGACUGGAUUGAUGGAGAAAGUAACAUUCUUGGAACUACAACAUGGCAGAGAAACUCUAUUGGUUAACUUUCUUGGACUGGCAAUUCUUCUAUUUGGAAUUACAGUUGAUGUUUCGGUUGCCCUUGCACGUUAUGUGUAACUAUGGCUUGUUCAUGAGGACCCGAUGAGAUGAGGACAAUUUCUUCACAACACAUCCAGUUUGGCAAACUAGUAUGAUAACUUUGUUCAAAAAAAAAAGUUGGUUUAUUGGAGAGGUGAAUUUUUCUUUCCUACAUUGUAAAUUAUUGUGAAGUUAAGAACUCAAGGAAGUGAGUUUUGUGAGAAAGUUUGAGUUUAUUUAUUUAUUCAUGUAUAGGAAAAAUCACCUAUUGGAUGAUACAGGUUUGCCAUAUAUGCUUAUUUUAAAAGAAAUAAAUUAAAAUGUUUACAAGGAAAAGAAGAAGGGGGUGGUUAUAAUGUUUGAGUUUCUUUGUUUGUAGCCAGCAUGUCUCAAGCGUACAAGAAAUUAUCAUUGAAUGAAUAUAUAUACAAGUAGAGGUGUAAACGAGUUUAAUUAAACUAAACACUUUAGUAUUCAUUCUUGUUUGAUUAUUUUAACAAGUUUGAAAUUUUGUUAAAUUUAAUUAAUUUAUUUAACAAAUCAUGUUUGAAUGAAUUUUUAUCGAGUCAAACUCGAGUAGAUUAAGAUUUUUACAUAUAAAAUCUAAUUUUAUACUAAACAAAAUAAGAUCCGUCUGACUUUCAAAGUUUAUUGUAUAUAAACUGUUUUCAAGUUUGAUUUAACUAGUUAGUAAACCAAACUCAAAUAAAUUUUUAUUAAGACGAACUAGAUUCAAAUAUUGAAUAAUUUGGUUUAUAUUUCAACUCUAUAUAUAAGUUGCGAUGGUAUUACAAACAGAUGAUAUUGAGAAUUACAAAUUGCAGCUAUACAAAAUCAAAUUGUAAAUUAUAUUAUGUGAGAGUUUAGAUGAUUUAGGAUGUUAAAGAAUGGGAGAGGGGGAUGGGUCGGGUGACUUUGAAACUUUCUACUUAUACCUUAAGAAAAAAAAAGAUGUUAAAGAAUGGGAGUGAAUAUUUCUAAGAUUUAGAGAGGAGAUAAAAAAACUAGAUAACAACAAUAUUAUACUAUUCUUACCCCAAAAGAAAAAUUAUACUAUCAUAAAAGGGAAUAAAUACUCUAACGAAAACAAUAGAACGGCUAUUGGUUCCCCUCAGUUUUUAAAACUACAGAUCACAAUAACGAAAUUGACAAAAUUUUAAAGUAGUCUCUUUCUGAAUUUUCUUUUUAAUUGAUUUUGUGAAUGCAUGAGUUUUUUUUUAACCAAAAUAACUCUCUUUCUAAAAAUAUUACCAAUGUGAUUCACUUCCAAAUUUUAUUUUCAUAAUGAUAUUAUUAUUGCCAUCUAAUUAUCCUCACUAUCAUGUAGAAUAACAGAAAAGGAAAGUUUGAAUCUUUGUUGUCACGUUGAUCUAUUUAUUGCCACGUAGAUUCCCAAAUUAAACGAAAAUGACCAUGUGUGAAAAUUUGGUUAGAAAUAUCCAAUCUACCAACAAUUGUACUCUUAUUUUCUACUACCAUUGUAUCUCUUAGAAUUUUGCAUAAUAUUAUAUUGCAAUUCCUUUCUUUUUUUUUGUAAUUAUAUCUAUAAUAAAGUUAUGAUUUUAUUCAUUUUAGUAUUUUGAAGUGUACAUAAAUUCUGGACAAAAGAGUCUUCAAAAUUGAAGUUGACAUAAAAGAAUUCCAUGUCAAAAGCAAAAAGAAGUGAAGAAUAAGAAUAAGAAUUGCAUUCAAAAACCACAAUUAUUAGAAUAAGAAUUUAACCUUGAAAAUAUCAAGAAUAACAUAAUAUAAGAGUCAAGACUUGUUAACCAUUGAUCUUUGGAAGAACAGGCAUUGCAUUCUGAGAAAAAUCAAACUGUCAUUCUUGUUCAUUCAUUAAAAUAAAAAGAAUGAUUAAUAUAAUGGGGAUGGAUCCUAUAAAAAAAAAUGGAAAAUAUAAGAUUUCGUGGAAUUAGUUUUCCAUUCUGGGCGUGUACGUUGUAAUAUAUACAUUAGAAAAGAAAUAAAGUUUUUGAUUGUAUUAGUUUAGAAAUAUUUUAUGAAUAGAAGAUUAUUUUGGCAAAAAAAAAAAAAAAAAAAACUCCGAAUGCAUAUGAUCCUUGACUUCAUUCUCUAACAUUGGCUAUUGAAUGAAAUAAGUUAUGAAUCUUUCAUCAAUUAUAAAUAUUUACUACAUGUAUCAUAUUCCCGUUAUAAAUUGUGUUGUUAGACAUUUUUUAUUUGACAAAAAAUGAAUUUCUUUCAACGUCCAUCUAUAAUUAGAAAAUUAGUAAAAAAAAUGUUAAAAAAUUACUAAAAUCAAAACAACAAAAACUACAAUUAAUUUCGUGUCCUUUCCUUUUCUUUCUUCUAAGUAAUAGCAAUUUUAGUUAGCAAUGGAAGCUAAAAUUCCAACCUCUUAGCUUUUACCUUCUAACUCUUUCAAGUAACAGUUCAUGAAAUAUGCCAUGAUUGAAAAAAUGUAAGGGAAGUUCCUAUAGUUAAAGUUCUUCUAUAAAUUAAAUCUUGCUUCUUCCAUAUACUAUAUUAUAUUUCUGUAAUCCCUGAUCCCUAAAAUUCUGUUUAAUAGUACUCAUUCCUUUCCUCUCGAAAUAAUUUUCAUCCAAGCUUAACCUUCGAACUUUUUUUAUCAUCCACUGGGAACUUAAAACAAGUUUGAACUUCAAGAGCUUCCAUAUUUCUUGGAAAAGAUUUAAUUUGUCCCCACUCAAUUUGUCCAGUUAGAAGAACUGUUUCAGGUAAUCCGUACUCUGAUAGUAGGGUUUUAAUUUCUUUAUUCUUCAAUACGCGUUCAUAAUUUUUUUUUUAAUGUCGUUUAUUCUUUUGUGAAAUGACUUGUUAUAAAUCUUGCUCCCCAUUAGAUGAGUGAUUCUGGUUUUUGGGAUGGCUACAAAUUGGCAGUUGUUCAAAGUCUUCAAGCCGGCAAAAAUCGAUUUGGAUUCUUUCAACCGUUUCAAGUCAAAUUCUUCUGUGUUUGGCCAUCCGGUCUCUACAUAACAAACUGGUAGCACACCAUCACUUGAUUACGAUAUAUUUCAUAAGCUUAAGUUCAUACAUUAUUCUCUUAUUAGCUGUUGCAGCCUCAGUCAAAACGAGUUUUAUUUGGUAAGAAUUAUGAUUCCAACUCUGCUUUUGCUCAUGUUCUCGGUAAUCAAAUGGAAAAAAAAAAAAAGAUGAUUAGUUCGAAUUAUUAGAAAAUAUUGGGAGCCAAAAUUUGAUUCGCCGAGUUUGAGUUGGUCCAAUAAUUUUUUGGACUUAAAUCACUAAUCCCAAAUAUUUAAACAGAUUCAUUAGUAAUCAAUAAAUCAAUCAUAAUUAACGCUUUCUAUUUCACUUGUCUUUCCACUCCUUUUCACGCCAUUCCUAUUUUCAACCACCGUUAGUUUCAAAAUUUGAAUCCUGAACUUAAUAGCGUGGAGAAAUCUAAAAGUCCUUCCCUAGCCUCUUUCUGUGCCAUUGGGGCUUUGAAGCCCGGAUUACAUUACGUUUUCUUGUUUUUCUUUUAAUUGGAGCCAACUACAAUGAGUUAAUCUCCUGCUCAAAGCAAAAAUCCAAUCAUGGUGGGGAUAUUUUUCAGCGUAGUUAAUAACAUGGUUGAAUUGGUUCUCCCGUGAAUAGUUCUGAUUUAACAUUUCCCAAAUAUUGUGGACUCCUUUAAUUGGCAGUUGGCGCAUUAUUUAUUGCACCUUAUCCAAGUUUACAUGACUUAAAGCUUAUUUAAAACACUAUUCGGCUCUCUGUACUGUUACCUGGGAGAAUAUUUCAAUCUGCUAAUCCAAAUACUUAAAUGGACCGAUUUUAUAGAUUCUGUUUGGAUAAUAUUUUAAAAUAUGUUCUCUAUUACCCAAUAUUAGACUGCUUCGUUUAAGACCCCAGAUUGAACGAAAUAAUAAUGUAAUCAAGAAAUCUUUCAUGAUUUCAUUCCAUUUCUACAUACUACCAUUUUCAAGUGCACUAGACUAGUAGGCCUAAAAAAAAUUUAAUUUCAUAAAAAUACCAAGUAAAGAUCGGUUUUAGAAAUUCCUUUCUUUUUCUUUUUUCCCUUGUUUGUAUACAUGGGCUUUGGUAGAUCAGUUUUACAGAUUUACUUGUAUAUUAUUGUGACAAAAACCAGCAGUAUAUUACAUUUGCACGACUUAAUUCUGACCUAGAGAUUUUUUAAGCAACCCAUAAAACAAAGGGAUAAUUUCAGAAACCUCCCCUGACGUUUCUAAUAAUUUCACUGAGCUUCCGUAGGAUUUUAAAAAUUACACUUACCUCCUCUGAUUUGAUAGUUUUAUUAACAAAAUCUUAAAAUAAUAUUGACUUGGUCAAUUUUUUAAAUGAAAACCCAAAAUGCCCUUGUGUAAUGAGUUUUGAUUUAUUUUUCUAUACAAUUAUAAGAUUAUCUAGUAUAAUUAUAAGGAAAAUGUGCCAAACUUUUACUGUAGAUUUUUUUGGAUUAUUUUUAGAGGUAUUUUUGAAACAUAUUUUUGAGUAUUUUUAGAAUAUUAUAAUUUUUAUAUUUUUAUAUAAAUAUACAUUUAUGCAUUUAUAAUACAUUUAUAUUUACAAAUGUAUAAAUGUAUAUUAUUAUAAAUGUAUAAAUUAUAAAUGAAUAUUAUAUCAAUAUAUAAAUUAUAAAUUAUAAAUUAUAAUUUUUAUAUUUUUAUAUAAAUAUGCAUUUAUGCAUUUAUAAUACAUUUAUACAUAUUUAUAAAUAAAUAUAUUUAUAUAUUCAUAUAAAAAUAUAUAUAUGUAUUAUAUUAUAUAUAAUACAUAAUAUAAAUAUAUUUAUAAAUGUAUAAGUGUAUAUUAUUAUAAAUGUAUAAAUUAUAAAUAUAUUAUAAAUUAUAAGUGUAUAUUAUUAUAAAUGUAUAAAUUAUAAAUGAAUAUUAUAAAUGUAUAAAUUAAUAUAUUAUAAAUAUAUAUUAAUAUUAUGUAGAAAUGUAUUUAUAUAAUUAAUAUAAAUAUAUAUAUGUAUUGAUAUUAUGUAUAAAUAUAUAAUUAAUAUUAUGUAUAUUAAUAUAAAUGUAUAAAUGUAUUAUAUUAUAUAUAAUAAAUAAUAUAAAUGUAUAUUUAAAUGUAUAAGUGUAUAUUAUUAAAAAUGUAUAAAUUAUAAAUGAAUAUUAUAUAAAUGUAUAAAUUAAUAUAUUAUAAAUAUAUAUUAAUAUUAUGUAGAAAUGCAUUAAUAUAAUUAAUAUAAAUGUAUACAUGUAUUAAUAUUAUGUAUAAAUGUAAAAUUAAUAUUAUGUAUAUUAAUAUAAAUUUAUAAAUGUAUUAUAUUAUUUAUUAUACAUAAUAUAAAUGUAUAUUAUAAAUAUACAUAAAUAUUUAUAUAUUAUGUAUAAAUGUACAUUUAUAUAAAUGUAUAAUGUAUAAUAUAUUAUAUAUUAUAUUAUAUAUAAUUUAUAUAACAUAUAAUAUUUAUGUAAAUAUAUUAUAAAUAUAUAAAAAUAUAUUAUAAAUGAAAUAAAAUAUUUAUAAUAUGUAUGUAUAAAUAUAUAAUAUUAGAAAUGUAUAAUAUAUAUAAUAUACAUUGUUAUUAAUAUAAUUUAUGUAUAAUAUACAUAAUUGAAAUAUACAUAUUAAUAUAUAUUAUAAAACAAAAUUGAAUAAAUAUAUUUAUAAAUUUAUAUAUAAAUAAAUGUAUUUAUAUAAAUAUAUAAUGUUUAUUUCAAUUGAUAUAAUAUAUAUAAUAUUAUACAUAAUUGAAAUAAAUAUAUUUAUAUUAAUAUAAUAUAUAUAUAUAUAUAAUAUACAUAAUUGAAAUAUACAUAUUAAAAUAUAAUAAAAUAUAAUUGAAAUAUACGUAUUAAAAUACAUAAUUAAAACAUACAAAUUGAAAUAUACUUAUUAAAAUAUACAAAUUAAAUAUACAUAAUUGAAAUAUAUUUGGAGUUGUUUUUGAUAUAUUGUUUGGAUAUGGUGUUUUUGAAAUUAUUUUUGAAAUACGCAUUUACUGUAGCAUUUGGAAUGUGAAAAACAAUUUUUAAAAAACAGGUGCAAAAACACUCAAUCCAAACGGACCCAGCAGUAUAUUACAUUUGCGCGACUUAAUUCUGACCUAGAGAUUUUUUAAGUAACCCAUAAAACAAAGGGAUAAUUUCAGAAACCUCCCCUGACGUUUCUAAUAAUUUCACUUAGCUUCCGUAGGAUUUUAAAAAUUACACUUACCUCCUCUGAUUUGAUAGUUUUAUUAACAAAAUCUUAAAAUAAUAUUGACUUGGUCAAUUUUUUAAAUGAAUACCCAAAAUGCCCUUGUGUAAUGAGUUUUGAUUUAUUUUUCUAUACAAUUAUAAGAUUAUCUAGUAUAAUUAUAAGGAAAAUGUGCCAAAAUUUUUAUGUCCAUAAUUACUAUUUGAUAAACAAAUAUAAUAAUAAUUUUAUCACUAUGAUAAGAUACUUUUGAUGGUAUUUUAUUGUGAAUUUAGAUUUAUAAGAUAGAAAAGAAAAUGUUAAAAUAAUUCAUUUAGAGUUUAUGAAUUUUUUGAAUAGUGAGAUUAUCACAAUUUGGUAGUCAUUUUGCGCCAUUUCCUUUUGAUUUAUUGUUAAUUUUAGUACCAAAAAAAUGAAGACAAAGAUCAACAAAAACAUUGGAUUACAUAUAAAAUUAACUCGUCAAAAAAUCACUAGUUUAACAUUUGAUUACAAUAGAAACUAGAAGCAAUAGUGGUAGUUUUACAGUUUUACUGGAGAAAAAUUAAUUAAAAAAAAGGAAUAAAAAGGAAAAAAUAAUUUUAAAACUCAUUAUAAGUAUAAGCAUAUCAAAUAAGGGAAUUUCAUUAAAAUAUUUAAGGGUAAAAUUAUCAUUUUAAAUGACAAGGGAGGUAUGGGUAAUUUUUCAAACCUCAAAGAAGGAGUUAAGUGAAAUUGUCAGGAACCUCAGGGGAGGUUUCUGAAAUGAUCCCUAAAACAAAUGUACCAAAGAAUUUGUUAUCAUCUUGUACAAGAUUUACGGCAGCAGGACAUCAUUGUGAUGACAGAGUGACAAGACACAUGAUUAUGACUUGAUAUAAAUAUGUGGUGCCCAAACUGAGUUGUUUUCCAAGUAAAAAAGCUUUAAAACUUGGCUAACUUUCAUUCACCUGUCGAAUUUCAAUUAGCCGUGGUGACUAUGGCAGAACAUUCGUGGCACCCAGGUUGAACCUGUUUGAUAAGGAAGUUAAUGAGUGGUACUAGAAGACGUAGCAUUUGGAAACGGUUACGCUUUAAUCUUUCACCCAUCAGCUAAUCUGUAUUCAUGUUUCUGGUAAAUUCUGAUCCGGAUGACUGAAAUAAAAUUGGACAUCUCUUGAAACACAUCCAAACACGUCUUAAGAAAAGAUGGUGCACAAAAAGGGUAAUGUAAUGUAUGUGCCAAAUUUUGCGUGAGUGUUGUGUGCCUUUUGGCAUCAACUGUUUAACAACACCAAAAUAUCUCAAAUACGAGGAAAAACAAUAUUAUAGAUUAUGUUCAUAUCAGUUUUUUAAAUAUUAUAAAAAUUUUUAAAAAAUAUUCUAAAAAAUAGUUUAUUUUUUUAAUAUUUAAAAAAUAUUCUAAAAUAUAUUUUAAAAAUUCCUGUUACUUUUAAAUAUUUCAAAAUAUAUUCUAAAAAUUCUGCUACUCCCUCCCUUUUUUUAUAACUGACGUUUAAGAAAUUUGCUCUAGUGUACUUUUAUCUGUCGUUUUAUUAUUCCCAUACAGUAUUAAUUAUUUUUUCACAAUUUUACCCUUUUAUCUCUCUUUUCCAAUACAGGAUUCUUAAUUACUACUCCUAGUAAUUAUUGCUUCUCUCUUUGUAACAAUCCUAGUAAUUAUUGCUUUUGGCCUAAUAAAACAGUACCAUUUAGUAUUCUAGUGAGAGAAAACAUGAGUGAAUUGGACAAUUAAUAAGGGUACAAAAGGAAAGUAGUGUAUAAAUUUAAGCAAUGAAAAAUAUUUCUUAAUUGAUGUGUAAAAUCUUAAAUGUCAGUUAUAAAAAAAGGGGAGGGAGUACAUUGCUGUUGUUGUUGUUGUACACUUGGCACACCACAUGGUCUGAUUGGUCCUAGCAAUGGUCCUAGCAAUGGUCAAAACAUGGAGACGGCCACCACAUGUACGUAGAAGGGAAGGUGUCCACGUACACGUAUAAAUUAUGGUGGAAUUCAGUGAAUGGACCAAGUAAUGAAAAGGGUAAUUGUACAAAUCUGCAGAAGUUUAUUAGCACUGACCAUAAAAUUGUAGUAAUUGGAAUAAUCUUGGUCCACCCGUAAGGCCAACAUAUUAUUCUUGAUUACAAUGCAAAUGUACAUACAAGACAGAGCGUACCUAAUUUCUUCAAUCUAUUAUGGCCGGAUUAUAUAAUACAGUAAUAGGUUAGCCGGCAAGAUGGUUUUCCUCAGCUUCUUGGUUGUCAUCUACUAUCAAUUUCGUGGCAGCAAGAAAAGCGGCCUCCUUAGAUUCCAUAUCCCUUUGCCGUAGCUUUUUGAUUGCUUCUGUGCACACAGUAUCAUAUCUCACAACCAUAUUCUCUUUGAACCUCUUUUUACACUAAUGAUUCUAAUAUAAUGAAGUCACAUCUGUCUCUUCUAUCUUUCUAAAUCCUUCUUUAGCCUGCCACUAAACGAUUUCAAUCUUUUCAAUUAAAUAUUUUUCCUGUGGCAUCCAUUUCUACACUAACUGGUGUACUGGGUGCAUCCCACAAAUUGAAACGUUCCUUCUUGUUAUUCUUCUUCUUCAUCCAACAACACGAAUACAGAAGAUCCUCAUUUCCUGUGUCUAAGUGUGUGUGUGUGUGUUUAAUUAGCAGUUAUUUUCCUCUUGUAGUGACACAGUGGAAUGGCACUCAAAAGCAGUUCCUACCAAACUUCUGCAACGCCAAUUUCAUUGUUUGCUCACUUGGUCUUCAUAGCAAUCUUCAUUCUUGUGCUGGUUUGGCUUCUCAAAUUCAGGGAAGGACUUUCCUUCAAAUCAGAUAACAAGCUGAAGCUUUUCAAUGUAAUAUACUUUUCUUGCUGCAUGAAAAUUGAUGUUUUUCUAUUCAUCUGUUUUGCUGAUCAAGAUUUAUGUGUUCUUCAAUUUAUGCUUAUAAUUUUCCUUUUUCCAUGCAGCUGCACCCCUUGUUUAUGGUCAUUGGCUUUGUCUUAAUCUCAGGACAAGGUAAGAAAUUAAGGAUGAUGAUAUAAGUUGGGCAAGCCCCUUUUCAGUUUGUUCUGCUUCAAUUCUACUUCUAAUCUUUUCUUCAUCAUUGUAAUUGAGUCCACUCUCACCUUACAAACACAAAGAAGGGCUUCUGAUUAUGCUGAUACUUCCGGUUAUUAUUGCCUAAAUUCUAGAUUUUCUAAUCAAAGAGCUUGUAUUAACUGAUUUCUUCUAGCUUUGGAAGAAGGUCAAAGAGUUGGACUUAAUUUAGUCGUUCAAAGUUUGAUAACUCUUGUUUCCUUGACAAAAUAGUUGUCUUUUUCUCUGUUCAAAUUUUUAGAAAGCUAAAAUAAAAUAUGAGAAUUGAGUAGGAAACAGUGAGUAAAAUUUCCCAUCUUCUUGCUUAUUGACCAAAUUGUUUCUUUCUCCAUGUUAGCCGGGUGUAUAAAAGUCACUUAAGGUUUUCACAGGGACAAAGUUAUAAUUUAUAAGGGAGAUUUUCAUAAACUUUCAACUUUUAUGGGUCAAAAGUACAAAUUCUUAAAACUAGGGGGACGGCCUUGAUUGUUCGAAUAACAUCUUUCAUGGACAUUUUCGCACCGAAAGCCCUGAAUAUCCUUCACUGGCCUUUAAGUCCGGGCAAAUAAGACCAAACGAGCACUAAUUUCCCUACAAUCACUUAAAGCCCAUUAAACGAUGGAGAAGAAAUCUAUAAUACUGCUUAGUCUAAAUUUGUAGUUUUCAUAGACAAAUAACUUGCACUAAAAACAGUCCAGAAAGUUUUGAUUGAGUGGUCAAAGUCGCCCACUCCUAUUCUAUCCUAAUCUAUUUAUGAGAGGUAUAACUGGACUUACGGGGAUCGAUAGGGAUAGAACCACCGCCGAAUCACCCGUCUAAAUUUUUUAAAAAAUUAUAUAAUAUGACAAUCGGUGGAAGGCAAGGUUCGAAUCCUUGUUUAAUAACAAGACACCAUUGUUAACUGAUUGUGAUUGUACUACCACCGGACUAGCCUGGUGCGAUUAGACGGGUACACUACACAUCAAUCUGUUAUUUAUUAUUUUUUUUUUUUCGGUUGUCAAAGUACACAGUACAAUUACUCAAUACUCAAAGUUUUGACCAAUGGUGUCGUGUGACAUUAUACGCUAUUGACAUCACAUGGUGCAUUAAUUUGUUUGUCUUUUUUCUUGUCCAAUGCAAUUCUAAUCUUCUUUGUAUUGGCACUUUGAUUUCCCACUCUUUCUGCUUGUUCAUGUUUUUCGUCACUGGGGUAAAAGGAAAAAAAGUAGGAGUUGACACAUUCUAUGACAUCUUUUAUACUAAAACAAAAAAGUUUAGAAGUAGUUUCUGAUAUAAUACCUUUUUUUUUUCAAGUUUCUAAUAUAACAGUUCACAAUUAAAACGAUAAAAAAUAUUGAAAGGCUGUGCAUUAUAUUUUAUUAUGUGUUUUAUUUUACAUCAUAACUCAUGCUUCAGUUUUUUUUUUUCUUUUCCAAUUUUUCUCCUAAUUUUCUUUCUUUGUGUUUGACGUUCCAAAGUUUGUCUAAUGGUCUAGCUAGAGCAUCAAAAAGGCCUGUUCGAGUUUCUGUUCCAAAUUAAUUUUCAAAAUGAUUUCAACCUUGAUAUUGAAUUCCCAUCUUUGACUAGUAGUAAAGUAGUAUAAUAUACAAACUUGAGUUCUUGAAUUUAUUAAUAACAACUUGUCAUUGGUAUUUUUGUCGCAGCUAUCAUGACAUACAAGACUUUCCCAGCAACGAGAAAGAGACAGAAAUUGGUUCACAUGACUUUGAAUUUCAUUGCUCUUCUUGCUGCCAUCGUGGGAUUGUAUGCAGUUUUUCAGUACCAUCAUGACCUUGGAAUCCCGCAUGUGUAUACCUUGCACUCUUGGUUUGGCAUUUCUACUGCCAGCUUAUUCUUUUUGCAGGUAAUUAAAACCUCUAAUCAAUUUUUAGUAGUAUAAUAACUGCUAACUCAUGUAUGCUUAAUAAUACUCCAGCAUAUUUCUACUGUAGUGAAUUCGUUCGAGAUACAUGUAAGUAGUAGUGUUCAUCUUACUAAAUGUGGAUUAUUGAGUAAUAAUCAGUUGUGUGUAUUGAUUCCACCAUUAUGGGCUACUGGUAAUAAAAUCAUAUUAAAAAAAAAAACAAAAGAAUGUUUGACUUUGUCAACAUUUUUCUUGUAUUAUGUGCCUAUAGAUUGUGAUUAGCCCAAUGAAAAAUAUAUAAUUGAAGGACAAAUAUUCCAAGUCGGCAUUGGCUGUAUUGUGUUGAUUGUUGAAUAGGUAGGUGUUUCUUACCAGUUCAAUUUUCUAAUGGGAGAUUCUGAACUUUUUUUUUUUUUUUGUCAGUGGCUGUUUGGCUUCUUUGCCUUUUGGGUCCGAGCCAGAGACUCCACAACUAGAGCAAAUUUAGCACCAUGGCAUGUCCUGCUUGGCAUGGUUAUAUUUUCCAUGGCAAUAGUGAGUGCUGUGACCGGCUUGAUUGAGAAAUUCACCUUCAUGAGCUUAAGAAGAGGGCAAGAGGCAUUGAUUGUCAACUUCACUGGCCUCCUCAUCUUCCUUUUUGGAGUAUCUGUUGGCUGCACUGUUCUUCUUCCAAGAAGUUAUUAAAGAUGGUAGUCAUUGGAAAAUGUUCUUGUCUUUGGUUAUAUAUACAUAUAUAGUUUGGCCCAAUAUUGCAGUUAGACUAAAACAUGUUUAAUCUUUUAUUUGUUCACUUGGAUCGCUCUAGCUUAGAGUAAUGAUUCCCAUGUUUGUUACAAGUGUUCUUGAGUAUUUGAAUAGUUUAUUUGGUCAAAUAGUUCUUUUGAAACCUGCAUUUUAUGCAUGAGAUCUGUGACAUUGGCAUGUGAACUUUUUGGGACUAUUGGAGCUGGAAAAUGGCCAUCAUUUGUGUACUCUACUAAAAAGGGACCUAGUUCGUAAGAUUUGGGCUUUUUUUUUUUUUGGUCGCAACGAUAGAAUUCCUAUAACCUAAUCAGCCUAAUCUAAAGGAGGAGAGAGAGGGGGACUCGAUGUGAAUAGAAAUUCAUCCAAAAUGGCCAAUUAAGGCCGUCACAUAUUGUGAUAACUUUUUGGUGGGAGGUAAGGGCCGAACCCUUAACCUCCCGUGCGUGACCACCGGACCAAAGGCCCAGUGGCUUGUAAGAUUUGGGCUUGGUGAAGUAUUUUCUUGGAGUGAUGAAAACCAAGUGCAGGUUUGAAAAUAAGCUACUAUCUACUAGAUCAAGUUGAUGACUUGAACGACAAAAUCUUGCCCCCUCCAAUCUGCAAUUUGGCUAUAUCAAAUCAGUAAACUGUCGAGUUAAUUCUGAAAACUGCUUAAAGUUUCUAUAAAAAUGCUGGCAUACAAUGAUCAGUUUAUGUACUGGUCAAGGAAUGGCCCAAACCAAAAUCUUGCGCCUGUUUAUCUGUGAACAUUUUUCAAUACUUGAGACCAAUGAGUAUUACGACUUGAUUUACAAUAUUUUCUUUUCCUGAAUCUGGUUGGAGUUCUAAGAAAUCACAAUCUUCUCUUCGAAUUCGGCCUGGUAUGCUGUAGUCCGUGGGUCAUGUCCAGCACCAAAACAAUGCCUAGAAAUAUAUAAUCUUCUGCAAGUAGUUGAAUGAGAGUUUUGAUCUUGCAUCACAUACCCUGUUUGCAUGCAUUAUCACCUUUAAUCACAUAAAACCUUCAUAAUUAAGGAAAAUUUGAACUGUUGAUUGAAAAGCAAAGAACCAUACGGAGAUUUCACCAAAGAUGCAGAUGUAGCCACGUCUGCAGGCUAUCACCAACAGGAGACCGUGCCCACAAAUCCCAAAAUCAAUAACAUUGCCUUUUUGACAAAAAAAAAGGGACAAAUUCCACUUUACCCUACUGUGGUUAAGUUUUUUCUACAUGACCCUUCUAUAAUUUUAAAACUAUACAUAACUCCUUUAUGGUUUAGAUUAAAGUGUCAAAGUAACGGAAAUAGUCAUUUGUAACGGAUCUUUUAAAAAUAUUGAAAUUACCCUUAUAAAUACAUGACACACUAAUCACGUAUGAUUUUUAUAUUUUACGAUAUAAUCUUCUUAUGGUUUAAUACUGUAUCAUAUAACCCCCUUAUAAUUUUCAAAAUAUACAUAUAACCCCCCUUAGUUAAUAAAUAAUUUUCAACUUUACAUAAGGGUAUUUUUUGCAUUUUAAGUGACUUCAUUACGAAUGAUCAUUUCUGUCACUUUGACACUUUAAUUCAAAUCAUAAAGGGGUUAUGUAUAGUUUUUAAAAUCAUAGGACAGUUAUGUAAAAAAAUAUUAAACCACAGGAGGGUAAAGUAGAAUUUGUCCAAAAAUAAAAUACAUUGCCUGAAAGACAUCUUUCCACACAAAAAGUUUCUAACCUACAGAGGAUUUCAAAUCCAUAUUAGAGUUAACGAGUUCUACAAAAUCUUCUUCAUUUAAUUAAGCUGUUACAGUACAAAACUGCACUAGACUCCUAAAAAAUUAUCCCUACCAAGAAUUGCAAAUUUUAAAAAUAAUCAGCAUUACUUUGCUCUAAGCAUACUAUUCUAACUAAAAUGGUGCUGCAAAUUUACCUAUAGCACACGAAUUGAGCAAAGAAAUUCAAGAUAUGAAAGCCAUUCUACAAUCAAAUUUUGGCCACACCAAAUAUACCACUUGUGUCUGAACUAUCAGUGUGACCUUUUUCAUAUCAUAUUUGCCGAUAACCUAAACACGUAUGAAAGAUCAGCAUGAGAUAAACCUAAGAUAAAGCAAAGUUCAUUACAUAUUCCAACACAAUGCAGGUGAUUCAAUGAAGAGAAGAGAACCAGCUUAAAAGUUCCUGUCAAUUUCCAAUGCAAAACGGACUAGGUGAAUGUUGAUUACUUACAGCAAAAACAGUUCAUUGGCAGCUCUAACGCAUAACAGUUUUAUGUGAAAAAGUUUGCGAACUCUAAAAAACGAAAGUGCACUAGUAAAACAAAGUAAAGUGAAAGAAUGAAAGAAAUGUGAUUGGAUCAUAAGCCGGGAUAGAUGCUCAAAUCGUGAUCACCUAUGACAUGAAGACCAAAAAUUGAGCACUACAAGAGAAAAAAAAAAACUUCCAUUUACCAACCUUUUACUACUGAAGCAUAAAAAGAUCCCUCCUCCUUCAUCUGGAUUUGGGACCGGCUGUCUAAUGGAUUGCAUCAACACAAGUGGAGUUAAAAUAUUUUAUGUCUCUAGUGCCAAGUAUGACAAGCCAUCUCUUUACUAUCAUAGACAAGUCAUAAAAUUUUGUAUGAAAUUGACCAAGUUUUAUCGUCUAAUCAAUAAUUGCAAAUUUUGUCACAAUUUUGACUCAUUUUUUGCUGUUCAAAUAUUUCUUGUAAAUUAAAUGUCAAAAUAUAUUAUUACUUUUUCAUAUGUUGAUCUAGAUAUCAAAAGAAAAGUAACGACACAAUAAUAGUAUUAUUUUAUAACAUUAUCUGAAUUUAAAUAUAUAGAGAUCAAUGGAGAGGAUCCUCACAAUAGUAUAAUUUUGUAACAUUAUCUAAAUUUAAAUAUAGAUAAAUAUAGAGACCAAUGGAGAGGAUCCUAACUCGUGUGUAAACUAGAUUUAGACAGAUUCCCAAAAAUAUAGCUAACUUUGAUGCCUGAGAGUGGACGCGGCCAUUAUUUAACCUGGUAUUUGGGCAUAUUAAUAGGACUCAUUUAGACAUACUAAUAAUAAUAGGGAACUCAAGUGAUUAGUAGCUAUUAAAAUGUUCAAAAACAGAUAGAGUUAAGAAAAUAGCUUUUUUAGGCAUGCUAAAUUAGGCAAAAAAGAAUCUGAGUGCUUUAAACUAAGGAGAGAAAUUAAGUAUUGAUCUUAUAGAGUAUGUAUGAGACAUUAAAGAGAAAUUAAGUAUUGAUUUUAUUGAGUAUGUAUGAUUACCCUUUUUUCUUUUUCUUUCUUGUUAAAAUGAGCAACACUUUGUUUGAAGAAAGCAUAAUAUUCAUAUCAACUGAACUAGUUUAAUCUAGUUCAAUGAAUUAACUAAAAAAUUUUGAAGCUCAAUAAGCACAUACAUAGUUGUAUAUAAAAUAUGUGUAUGUGUUAGAUAAAGCAAAAUGAUAAACAGAAGUGUUGAGUUUACAACAUUUGGAAAAACUAAGUUAGGUUCAGAAUGGUUGGAGAUUUGAAAAUCGAUUGGUGAAACCAAAUUGGCAAAAGUAUAGUGUAAAAAUAAAAAUUGAAUCUUUUCAUUUUGGGAAAACAAAAAAAAUAGUCCAAUGUCUUUUUUUCCACUUUUUUUUUUAUUUUUUUUCCAAAAUUCUUUACUACUAAUAAAAAAAAUGUAAAUGAAAAUAAGAAACCAACAUAUUUUGUUGAUUUUUUCUUUUUUAUUUUUUGUCUUUUUUUUUGGCUCUUUCCACACAAAUUACUUACUAGUAAAUAAAAGAUAAAAAAUUAUACCAAAAUCUUUUUGUGCUAUUUGUGCAUUUUUUUGUCUUUUACUACUAAAGCAUAAAACAUCCCUCCUCCUUCGUUCGAACUUGGGACUUGCUGUGUGAUGGAUUGCAUCAACACAAGUGGAGUGAAAAAACUGUAUGUCUCUAGUGUCAAACAUGACAAGCCAUCCUUUUUGGAUCAUAGACAAGUCACCUUGGACAAUGAAUACCUCUAUGCCACAAAAUACGAGGAAAAAUUGAUGAAUACUCCCACUCAAAACAUGUAGAGUAGACUGUAUCAAAUAACAAUAAUUGACUCCCAGCCUUCAACAUGUGUGAGGGAUGAAACAUUAUCUAGCCUACUAAGGGACUUUGUUCAAACAUAACAAUUUGACAUGAAUUCGGCACUAGCUAACCCAUAUGAUAAUUAUAUUGAAAAAAAAUGGUGUGCUCACAGGAGUAGGGUUGAAAAUGCUCAAAAGGCUCAUCUCAACUUUGCAUCCGCAACCAAGUUUUUUAGUUUAAAAUCCCAAUAUAUUUGAAAGGCAAAGGUCCAAAAGAGAUUUAGCAUUGCUCAGCAGAAUCAACGCAUUAACAAUGGAUAUGAUAUUGGCCGACUGCACUUUAGUUGUGGUAGGGUUCCCCAUUGUCUCUCACUUUGUGAGUGCAAGGACUUGGCUGUAAUCUUGUACACAGAUUUUGUGCUUUGAUUGCUAAGCUGUCCCUCUUGAGGCAAUAGUAAUACCAAUUUUUUUUUCUAGAAGCACAUUUUUUGUGUGCUAUUUUGUCCUCUUUUUGCACUUUCAUUUUUAGGUCUCUUGAGAAUCCAACUUGCUCACUCAGGAGAUAUUUCCAUGGAACCACAAAUGCAAUCUCACUUAUUAUUUGAUAUAGCAAGACUCUCGAUUUGGCUUACUCUAUGUCAGGAUUCAAUCUUCAAAAGAAUGAAAAUUAUAGUAAUGACUAAUUCUGAGUUAAGAGAGAAUGAUUAUACGAAAGAAAGAGCUAGAGAGAGAAGAAAGAGAGCAGAAAUGAGGAAAACAAGAAAAUAGAAUUUGAUUCUUGCCAAUCCCCAUUCAUACAACUUUGUAACCAUUAUACAGAAAGAGGCUUAAUUGCUUCUUACUACUGCAACUAACUACUCUAACAAAAUUCAACUAACUACUCUAUAUAAGUUGUAUUAGUUAAAAAAUAAAAAGAAUUAAAAAUUAAAAACAAUUAAUGCACAUAUUUCACCACUCAAAAAGUUCAUAUUUAAUAAAUUAAACAACACAAAUAAGCAGCAAAACUAUACUAAUGAUCACAAGAUUUAACAAAACAGACUGGUCAUCUCUUUUGAUAUGAUAUUCACUAUGAUUCUUUGUGAUUUUGAACAGAAAAUUUUUUCAAAAUUUGCCUUUCUUUUCCCUCCAUUCUCCUUUACUAAUAUCUAACGAUUAAUUAAUUAGAGGACUAAUUAACUAUUAAUAACUAAUUAAUGAAAAUAAAUGUUAAAAAUUUCUUUUAAUGAUGAAUGAUGACUUGUAUUUAUGAAAUAACAUUAAUUGAUAUGUCCAGUGGAGGAAGGAGGGAAAAUAAAAAAAAAUCAAAAAAUUUUUCUGUUAAAAGAAUCAUAGCAAACAUUCGAAAGAGAUGACUAUUCUAUUUUAUUGAAUCUUGUGAUUAUUAGUGUAGUUUUGUUCCUUAUUUGUGUUAUCUAAUUUAUUAAAUGUGAACCUUUUGAGUACUGAAAUAUGAGUAUUAAUUGUUUCUAACUUUUAAUUAUUUUUAAUUUUUACUAAUACAACUUAUAUAUAUAUUUUAAGUGUAAGCAGGAGGACUCGAACUCGAGACCUCUUGCUUGCACUCUCUCCCCCCGUACCACCCAACCCAUCCCUCCCUCCCUUAUAUAUAUAUAUAUAUAUAUAUAUAUAUAUAUAUAUAUAUAUAUAUAUACAUACAUACAUACAUACAUAAGGGGUAUUUAUGGAAUAAGAGUUUCAUCUCUCUCAUCGAAGUACUUUUUAAAUGUUACUUUUUCUAAUCGGACUAAUUUUGUUAUCAAACCUUACCCUCAAGGGAGGUUUGUGUAAUAUUGCAAACUUCAGGGGAGGCUAGUGAAAUUGUUAGAAACCUCAAGGGAGGUUUAUGAAAUUAUCCCUUAUUUCAACUCAUAUAUUUAUCAAACAUUGAUGGGCUGACUAGUCAUUCAAAGUGAUCCCAAUUCAAGAACAUUUGGUGGGCUGGGUAUUGAUAUAAUAGUUAAACUCUGAUGGGUUGAUACCAAUCCCAAACACUCUCUAAUUUUCAUAAAGCUGGCUCUAAUUUUUAAUGGACUACAGGGUUUAAACUAAAGCCCAACUCAUCCUAACCCUCUCGUUUCCACUCAAAAUGAUUCCCUUGAAUUUCUUCCACAAAAAAAAAAAAAAAAAAAAAAAGGUUCCCUUGAAUAAAAAAAACAAGGGGGAAAAAAAUAUAAACUCAAGAUGCAUUUGUAUUCUUUGCUAAAGAAAGCGACAAGCAUCAAUAGGAAUCUGACCAUUUGUAUUCUUUGCCAAAGAAAGCGACAAGCAUCAAUAGGAAUCUGACAAAAAUGUGUAAAUUAGGACUCCUAAGCUUGUCCAACGAAGUUAUCUGCUACUAUUAAAUUUGUCCAAAUGCAAUGGUAUGUGUCUAUUCCAACUACCAUUACACUUCAGAUAAAAUUAAAUGCUAAACCAACUCAUAAUCUAACCAUUGCUGCAUUAUAGCUACUCUAAAUAAUUUGAUAGGGCACAAGAAGAAAUUGAGAGUUCUUUUAAUGGAGAAGUACGAUGAGUCAUUGUAACUUAUAAAUGAAUGGUUUUCGUGAUGUUACAUAUAAGUUUUAACUUCCUACUACAGAUUUUAUUGGGAACGAACUCAAGAUGAUAAAUAUAUCACAAACAAUGAUUUAUAUAAGUUAUUCUUUGAUUCUUAUUUACUUUUUUGGUUAAAGAUCAGAUUAUGACAAAUGUUAAAGUGCCGAGUUUAUCGGCAAAAUUUGAGUUUGUUUAGCAUAACAUUUUUUUUUUAAAUGUUGAGUGAAAAAAUAGUAAUAAUGAAAAGAUAAAAUAGUUUUUAUAAAUAGAAUUGUAUGUCGGCCUUUAGAGAAUCUUCAUAAAUCCUAAUCCUAUUAUAAUUCAGGAAAAAAAAUCAGCAUGUAAUCAAAAAGAAUCUUUUUAAUCCAUUAUUUUAUGAAGUUAGUACACAAGAACCCCUUCAAAUGCUCCUUGGUCAAUGUACAGUGAAGCCAGCUGGCAAUUAGCAUCUGAAAUGUAUGAAUUUUAACCAAUUUUUUUUUUCACUAAAAAAAACCCUGAUGUGGCAAUCAUUGAUAUGCAAAUCCAUUUGGCACAGAGGGUUCAUUUGUUUUUUCACCCCCAAAAGUAGCAUUUUUAUAGGCACCAAUUGUUUGAUGUUUUGAUCCUUUUAACUUAUUCUAUUCUCUACCAUAUUUAAAUGGGACAGUGGCUCUGGAGGCAUUAGUCCUCUGGAAUAAAUUCCAGAAAAUGACUUCCAAACCAGAAGAAUCUUUUUAAAUGCUUCUAGUAUACGUGAUUCAUCAUUGAAGCAAACGAAUUGUUGUAGAGUCAAACCACACUAACAUCAUGUAGCCUCCCAAUUCCUUGAGCACUCCACAAUUAUAUAUAUUAGCUCACUAGGUUUAAAAUCUGAGGCGUCCAGGAUUUCAGUCCUCAUCACCUCCCAGCAGCCUAGCAUGGAAUACUUCCAACCAGCUGCAGAGAAGAAAAGGACAGGGCAGUAGGCAAUGGGUUCUUGUCAUCUAUCAAAUGUAUCAGCCAUGUAAAGAAGGCAAUAAAUCAAGACACCCCUUUUUGUAACCUGAAAAUGUGAUUCUUCCAGAAAGAAAACAGUUUGUAAAAUGAAGUAUGAUAUGCAAAUUCACAUUAGCACAAUAGACUGCAGAAAGGCUUUACUUCUUGAUCAGGCAUACUACAAAUGCAAUGCUUUUUGCAUUGUUCAACAUCAUCACAUAUUCCUCAUCUUACAUAUCGACGAUCAUUAAUAUCAACACUAUGCUGCCAAGAGGCCAAUGAAAAGGAGGAUUGAAAAUUUUAAAAUAGAAAUACAACCAUUUAAUCAGCAGUUGGAAAAAGCAAACAAGACCCUGUAGCGGGCAACAGAAGAAAAGCUAAAGUUAAUGUCAUCUAAUUGCAACCAAUGUCACUAGAGAAAAACAAAUGAUAAAUAAAGAGAAUCAUUAGACCCAUUCUUGUUUCGUUGCCUCCAUUCUCUUCAACAAGCCAGCAAUCUCGGCUUGCAUCCUCAUCUUCAUUUG
RNAcentral lists this long non-coding RNA (31766 nucleotides) under Coffea arabica (coffee). Its description in RNAcentral is "long non-coding RNA (CARA_LNC007533)". Lineage: Eukaryota; Viridiplantae; Streptophyta; Magnoliopsida; Gentianales; Rubiaceae. The record is from RNAcentral.